GGUUGUAGCUCAGUGGAAGAGCACUUGCCUAGCAUGUGUGAGGCACUGGGUUCGAUUCUCAGCACCA
RNAcentral lists this transfer RNA (67 nucleotides) under Marmota monax (woodchuck). Its description in RNAcentral is "tRNA.Ala". It matches the Rfam family "tRNA". Rfam says of the family: Transfer RNA (tRNA) molecules are approximately 80 nucleotides in length. Their secondary structure includes four short double-helical elements and three loops (D, anti-codon, and T loops). Lineage: Eukaryota; Metazoa; Chordata; Mammalia; Rodentia; Sciuridae. The record is from RNAcentral.